UGGCAUACUGUGCUCUUGGCCUGCUUGUACCUGCUAAGCCUGACUCUGGUCUGAACUCCUGGUUUUGUACUCCUAGUGUGGGAUCACUGGCUUGUGAGAUCUUGGACUCCUGACUUGUUCACUUGCAAAACAGCUCAAAUAUCUCUGCCCCAUGUUGCAAUGUCUUCUGUGCCUUCAGUACCAGAAUCUCCUGAGGUUCAACAGGCCAUCUAUCUAUUAAUUCAAAAGGUACUGUGGAGAAUUCUGCAAAGUUUGUGUGAAGAAUGAGGGAUGAUCAUCUGGAUAAACUGAAACAAAUUCUGUGCAGAAAGCAGAGUGGGCUCUAUCGUUGGACCAACCAAGCAUUGAACUUUUCUGGAUCCAACUCACUGGGUUCAAAGUGUUCUUUGGUGUGCAAAUCUGAAAGCUUGAAGGGAUGCCAUGUGUCUUCAACCAAACAAGGGGGAACAGAGAAUCCCAAACCAUUAUUGUCUGUUGUGAUGUCUUGAUAAGGACUAGAUGGGAGCUGUUCACCUUCAAAAUCAUGGGGCCAGAAGGAUAUCAGAAAUGUACAAAGGGGGCUUUCUGCUACAGACUGUUGAGCCGACAGAGAAGGUUGAGAUGUGUAUACAAGGACCCAGGCUGUGCAGCACCUUG
RNAcentral lists this long non-coding RNA (636 nucleotides) under Crocodylus porosus (Australian saltwater crocodile). Its description in RNAcentral is "lncRNA (ENSCPRG00005006470.1)". Lineage: Eukaryota; Metazoa; Chordata; Crocodylia; Crocodylidae. The record is from RNAcentral.